This 253-nucleotide ribosomal RNA is filed under the name uncultured bacterium. RNAcentral's name for it is "partial 16S ribosomal RNA". It matches the Rfam family "Bacterial small subunit ribosomal RNA", at positions 524 to 776 of the family's 1533-position model. The record is from RNAcentral.
UACGUAGGGGGCUAGCGUUGUCCGGAUUUAUUGGGCGUAAAGAGCGUGUAGGCGGCCAGGUAGGUCUGCUGUGAAAACUCGAGGCUCAACCUCGAGACGUCGGCGGAAACCAUCUGGCUAGAGUCCGGAAGAGGAGAGUGGAAUUCCCGGUGUAGCGGUGAAAUGCGUAGAGAUCGGGAGGAACAUCCGUGGCGAAGGCGGCCAUCUGGAUCAACACUGACGCUGAGGCACGAAAGCGUGGGGAGCAAACAGG